GACGAACGCUGGCGGCGUGCUUAACACAUGCAAGUCGAACGGAAAGGCCCUGCUUUUGUGGGGUGCUCGAGUGGCGAAAGGGUGAGUAACACGUGAGUAACCUGCCCUUGACUUUGGGAUAACUUCAGGAAACUGGGGCUAAUACCGGAUAGGAGCUCCUGCUGCAUGGUGGGGGUUGGAAAGUUUCGGCGGUUGGGGAUGGACUCGCGGCUUAUCAGCUUGUUGGUGGGGUAGUGGCUUACCAAGGCUUUGACGGGUAGCCGGCCUGAGAGGGUGACCGGCCACAUUGGGACUGAGAUACGGCCCAGACUCCUACGGGAGGCAGCAGUGGGGAAUAUUGCACAAUGGGCGGAAGCCUAAUGCAGCAACGCCGCGUGCGGGAUGACGGCCUUCGGGUUGUAACCCGCUUUCGCCUGUGACGAAGCGUGAGUGACGGUAAUGGGUAAAGAAGCACCGGCUAACUACGUG
RNAcentral lists this ribosomal RNA (468 nucleotides) under uncultured bacterium. Its description in RNAcentral is "partial 16S ribosomal RNA". It matches the Rfam family "Bacterial small subunit ribosomal RNA", at positions 28 to 507 of the family's 1533-position model. The record is from RNAcentral.